RNAcentral lists this ribosomal RNA (761 nucleotides) under Prevotella nigrescens. Its description in RNAcentral is "bacterial SSU rRNA". It matches the Rfam family "Bacterial small subunit ribosomal RNA", at positions 28 to 776 of the family's 1533-position model. Lineage: Bacteria; Pseudomonadati; Bacteroidota; Bacteroidia; Bacteroidales; Prevotellaceae. The record is from RNAcentral.
GAUGAACGCUGGCUACAGGCUUAACACAUGCAAGUCGUGGGGAAACGGCAUUAUGUGCUUGCACAUUCUGGACGUCGACCGGCGCACGGGUGAGUAUCGCGUAUCCAACCUGCCCCUUACUUGGGGAUACCCCGUUGAAAGACGGCCUAAUACCCGAUGUGUUUCAUUGACGGCAUCCGAUAUGAAACAAAGGUUUUCCGGUAAGGGAUGGGGAUGCGUCUGAUUAGCUUGUUGGCGGGGCAACGGCCCACCAAGGCGACGAUCAGUAGGGGUUCUGAGAGGAAGGUCCCCCACAUUGGAACUGAGACACGGUCCAAACUCCUACGGGAGGCAGCAGUGAGGAAUAUUGGUCAAUGGACGCAAGUCUGAACCAGCCAAGUAGCGUGCAGGAUGACGGCCCUAUGGGUUGUAAACUGCUUUUAUGUGGGAAUAAAGUGGCGCACGUGUGCGCCAUUGCAUGUACCUCAUGAAUAAGGACCGGCUAAUUCCGUGCCAGCAGCCGCGGUAAUACGGAAGGUCCGGGCGUUAUCCGGAUUUAUUGGGUUUAAAGGGAGUGUAGGCGGUCUGUUAAGCGUGUUGUGAAAUUUAGGUGCUCAACAUUUAACUUGCAGCGCGAACUGUCAGACUUGAGUACACGCAGCGCAGGCGGAAUUCAUGGUGUAGCGGUGAAAUGCUUAGAUAUCAUGAGGAACUCCGAUCGCGAAGGCAGCCUGCAGGAGUGUUACUGACGCUUAAGCUCGNAGGUGCGGGUAUCGAACAGG